RNAcentral lists this ribosomal RNA (497 nucleotides) under uncultured bacterium. RNAcentral describes it as "partial 16S ribosomal RNA". It matches the Rfam family "Bacterial small subunit ribosomal RNA", at positions 28 to 507 of the family's 1533-position model. The record is from RNAcentral.
GAUGAACGCUGGCGGCGUGCCUAAUACAUGCAAGUCGAGCGAACAGACGAGGAGCUUGCUCCUCUGACGUUAGCGGCGGACGGGUGAGUAACACGUGGAUAACCUACCUAUAAGACUGGGAUAACUUCGGGAAACCGGAGCUAAUACCGGAUAAUAUAUUGAACCGCAUGGUUCAAUAGUGAAAGACGGUUUUGCUGUCACUUAUAGAUGGAUCCGCGCCGCAUUAGCUAGUUGGUAAGGUAACGGCUUACCAAGGCAACGAUGCGUAGCCGACCUGAGAGGGUGAUCGGCCACACUGGAACUGAGACACGGUCCAGACUCCUACGGGAGGCAGCAGUAGGGAAUCUUCCGCAAUGGGCGAAAGCCUGACGGAGCAACGCCGCGUGAGUGAUGAAGGUCUUCGGAUCGUAAAACUCUGUUAUUAGGGAAGAACAAAUGUGUAUGUAACUAUGCACGUCUUGACGGUACCUAAUCAGAAAGCCGCGGCUAACUACGUG